CAAAAAAAAAAAAAAAAAAAAAAAAGAAUUUUCAUCCUGACCAAUCUGGGUGACCAAUCAAUUAAAUUGGUUUAGGAAGAGCUUGCCCUAGAUUGGUUGAUUUCAUAAUUUUUCUUUUUAUUAAUUAUUGGGUUUUUCUCUCUGAUCUCUGCAUUGAAAAUUAUUUCCUAAGCCAUAAAGACUUGUUGAGGUACCAUUCUAGAAUCCCCAAUAUUUAUUCUAGUUGUUAUAGUAACAGUGGAACCCAAGUUUCUCCUAAAGCAUUACCCAGCUUUCCUUGCCCAGGCAGAAAAGAUGGCAGAGGGAGGGUGAACCCAGGGCCCAUCUGUGGGUAUGGGCUCCAAUUUCCUAAAUUGUUUGUGGUUAUAACCAUGGCUUCCACCUUGUCUGGCACCGGGUCCACAUCUUUUCUGAGACCUGCUAGAAGAGCUGACAGCCACUUGUUUGUUUCAUCUUUCCUGAGAACUAAGAGAGGUUCACCCAGCUCAGUUCUUCUCAAAGACACCCCGUCUGUGCAUUGUGCUUGUUUGCUCAUCCAUGAAAAGAGGAAGAGAGAACAGCCGUGGAUGUGAUGUCAGUAUCAAAACUUCCUUGAGGACAGGCGGGAUAAAUUGGGCAAACGGCUGAGUUCUCCCGCAGCCUUUGGGAGAUUGGCCCUGAGAACCCAGAAUAGAUGCCCAUUAUACAUCAUGCGUGUGCUAUGGAAAGGUCUGUGCCAGGCAAGCCUGAGAGCCUAAUUCGCUAUUCCUAUGGGGUUCCAUGCACCCAUCCUGGCUGUCAGGCCCCAAUACCCAUCAUACUUGACCUGUACUGGGUAUUUUUUCACUCAGAUCCCUCACUCUACAGUGACUCUACCAGAAAUCUUGAAUUCCAGAUGAGCCACGUCAUGCCAUUGUCAGCAUAGGAGGCCCUUUGAAGCCCCAAAAUGGGUCAUUUGCACUCCCUUCUUCUGCCUGCUCCUGUUCCCAUGAGUGGUUGGCAUGGAAAGGGCCAUCAGUAGAACUUGGCUGGCAACAUUUGCAGGAGCAGGAAUCAACAGAGGACCCAGGAGAAAGGGAUGGAGCCCAGGGCAUGAAACAUAGUCCAGAUUCCUGCUGGUCAGAGCCCUAGAGAAUAAGAGAAGCUUGCUGCUGGUGAGGGGGUAUGGCCAGGAUUCCUGGAGUCGGAAGAGCUUCAGCUUCACCAUCUUGGGAGAAGAAGGAAGAAAGUGAAAGCGAUGUGGUCCUUCUUAGUCCCAAGGACCCUGACAGCUUUCACAUGUGAUGUUUCAAGGCAACGGGGAGAGCUUCUUUACCAGAACGAGGGAGAAGAUAAGACUAAAGCAGUAAUGGUGGUAGGGACUGAAAAUCACUUAGUCUUUUCUCUACUCUCUUUCUUUCCAAACUUUGAGUUGAGUGGUGAGCUUGGAAAACACUCCAAAACUCCUCGUGGCCUCUGGCACCAGUCUGACACCCAGUAGGAAUGCAGGAGAUUACGUUAGUUUUCAUAAUUUAGCAUUGAUCACUCCCAGCUCGUAGCUAAAGUUGAUCAGUAACUGUUGGUUGGUUGGCUGGUUUGGGGCUUGGGGAUCCCUGAGCCAACUCAAGGGCCAGAAAGGAUUCCAGAGUGUUUCCACGGUCCUUCAAUGUUCCUUAAGCAUUCCCACUUUCUGAAGUGCCAUACAGAGGCUUGGGGCAGAGACAGGGAGAGGGGAUGACCAGAAUGGAUGGGGAGCCGGAAGGGCCGGGGCUCUGGGGACCCAGCUCAGAGCAGCGAGAACAGCGGAAAAGCAGGCAGAUCAAAACAAACACAGUGUCUGGGAACACCAAGACCCUCCUAAUCCCAUCCCCGCCAAAGGGACCCCACCCUUAUCCUCUUUAGGGGCGCGGC
RNAcentral lists this long non-coding RNA (1869 nucleotides) under Homo sapiens (human). RNAcentral's name for it is "non-protein coding lnc-SORBS3-1:3". The record is from RNAcentral. Lineage: Eukaryota; Metazoa; Chordata; Mammalia; Primates; Hominidae.